This 260-nucleotide long non-coding RNA is filed under the name Cervus hanglu yarkandensis (Yarkand deer). RNAcentral describes it as "lncRNA (ENSCHYG00000006529.1)". The record is from RNAcentral. Lineage: Eukaryota; Metazoa; Chordata; Mammalia; Artiodactyla; Cervidae.
AACGAGGUUUAGGUUGCCAGAGGGGAAAGUGCCUCUUGUGUGGCCUGGAAGCUCUAUGGUCCAACCCCACCCCCUCACAGAUGGCUCUGUGAACAUUGACCCUAGAGUCAGAGUCCUGGAGUGCUCCUUCCUUGAUGACACAAAGCCAUCCUAAUUACUGGCAGGUUUGCUGAAGAAUUCCCAGUAUUAAUUUGAUCUGGGAAGAGAGCUAGGGAUUUUCUCAGUCUCAAGGAAAUGCGUUCAGUUAAGCUGAAGGAAAG